UACGUAGGGUCCGAGCGUUGUCCGGAAUUACUGGGCGUAAAGAGCUCGUAGGUGGUUUGUCGCGUUGUCCGUGAAAACUCACAGCUCAACUGUGGGCGUGCGGGCGAUACGGGCAGACUGGAGUACUGCAGGGGAGACUGGAAUUCCUGGUGUAGCGGUGAAAUGCGCAGAUAUCAGGAGGAACACCGGUGGCGAAGGCGGGUCUCUGGGCAACAACUGACGCUGAGGAGCGAAAGUGUGGGGAGCGAACAGG
Molecule: ribosomal RNA, 253 nt
Filed under: uncultured bacterium
Lineage: Bacteria
Description: partial 16S ribosomal RNA
Rfam family: Bacterial small subunit ribosomal RNA
Source: RNAcentral